CGAAGGUUAGCUAAUCCUGGUCGGACAUCAGGAGGUUAGUGCAAUGGCAUAAGCUAGCUUGACUGCGAGCGUGACGGCGCGAGCAGGUGCGAAAGCAGGUCAUAGUGAUCCGGUGGUUCUGAAUGGAAGGGCCAUCGCUCAACGGAUAAAAGGUACUCCGGGGAUAACAGGCUGAUACCGCCCAAGAGUUCAUAUCGACGGCGGUGUUUGGCACCUCGAUGUCGGCUCAUCACAUCCUGGGGCUGAAGUAGGUCCCAAGGGUAUGGCUGUUCGCCAUUUAAAGUGGUACGCGAGCUGGGUUUAGAACGUCGUGAGACAGUUCGGUCCCUAUCUGCCGUGGGCGCUGGAGAAUUGAGGGGGGCUGCUCCUAGUACGAGAGGACCGGAGUGGACGCAUCACUGGUGUUCGGGUUGUCAUGCCAAUGGCACUGCCCGGUAGCUAAAUGCGGAAGAGAUAAGUGCUGAAAGCAUCUAAGCACGAAACUUGCCCCGAGAUGAGUUCUCCCUGAGACUUUAAGUCUCCUGAAGGAACGUUGAAGACGACGACGUUGAUAGGCCGGGUGUGUAAGCGCAGCGAUGCGUUGAGCUAACCGGUACUAAUGAACCGUGAGGCUUAACCUU
RNAcentral lists this ribosomal RNA (620 nucleotides) under Klebsiella pneumoniae. RNAcentral's name for it is "partial 23S ribosomal RNA". It matches the Rfam family "Bacterial large subunit ribosomal RNA", at positions 2311 to 2925 of the family's 2925-position model. Lineage: Bacteria; Pseudomonadati; Pseudomonadota; Gammaproteobacteria; Enterobacterales; Enterobacteriaceae. The record is from RNAcentral.